UACAGAGGGUGCGAGCGUUGUCCGGAAUCACUGGGCGUAAAGCGCGCGCAGGCGGUCCUUUUAAGUCUGAUGUGAAAGCCCACGGCUCAACCGUGGAGGGUCAUUGGAAACUGGGGGACUUGAGUGCAGAAGAGGAAAGCGGAAUUCCACGUGUAGCGGUGAAAUGCGUAGAGAUGUGGAGGAACACCAGUGGCGAAGGCGGCGAUCUGGGUCGAUACUGACGCUGAGGUGCGAAAGCGUGGGGAGCAAACAGG
This 254-nucleotide ribosomal RNA is filed under the name uncultured bacterium. Its description in RNAcentral is "partial 16S ribosomal RNA". It matches the Rfam family "Bacterial small subunit ribosomal RNA", at positions 524 to 776 of the family's 1533-position model. The record is from RNAcentral.